UGCACAGGAGAGUCCCUGAUACCCAGAGUUUACUGCCUAAGAGAGGAUACAUCCUUCAAACCAAUAAUCUGCUAAUAGCAAGAUCCAAUAGCUUCAUGGAUAUUGAAAGAAACUGAGAAUCAAAUUUGCAUACUUCUGAGUCACUUGGAAACAAAAAACAAGUACAGUCUUAGAUUCUGAGGGAACAAAAAUUAAAAAUCACAUUAGGAAGAGAAUUCCUAAUGUAGGAACUCGUCCUGGAAGAUUCUUCAGCAAAAGUACAGACAAUAAUAAUACUCCAUGAAGUUACCAUCGAUUUUGAAUGAAUUAAUGAAUGUAAAAACCUCAAAACCCUGCCUGGCCCAGAGCUUUGGAAUAGGUUUGGAUCUACCGCUCAACUGCUUUAUGACUUCAGACCAGUUAUUUAAAUUCCCUGAAGCUCAGUUUCCACAUCUUUGAGUUUUUAUUAAUGACCUGCCGACAUCAUACAGUUCAUGAAAUGCUCUGGAUGUGUACAUGCUGAUGAUACGACCUCAGACCCAGCAAGA
This is a long non-coding RNA of Gorilla gorilla gorilla (western lowland gorilla), 527 nucleotides long. RefSeq lists it as uncharacterized. The transcript has 4 exons. NCBI's taxonomy places the organism in Eukaryota, Metazoa, Chordata, Mammalia, Primates, Hominidae. The record is from RefSeq and is a predicted model, not a curated record.